This 78-nucleotide transfer RNA is filed under the name Rhodoplanes serenus. RNAcentral describes it as "tRNA-Thr(ggt)". Lineage: Bacteria; Pseudomonadati; Pseudomonadota; Alphaproteobacteria; Hyphomicrobiales; Nitrobacteraceae. The record is from RNAcentral. RNAcentral also lists the same sequence under 1 other name.
GUCACCUGCGCGAGCGGCACCGACGCGCUGUCGCUGGUGCUGAUGGCCAAGGGCAUCGGUCCCGGCGAUGCGGUGAUC